RNAcentral lists this ribosomal RNA (406 nucleotides) under uncultured bacterium. RNAcentral's name for it is "partial 16S ribosomal RNA". It matches the Rfam family "Bacterial small subunit ribosomal RNA", at positions 355 to 753 of the family's 1533-position model. The record is from RNAcentral.
UGGGGAAUUUUGGACAAUGGGCGAAAGCCUGAUCCAGCAAUGCCGCGUGUGUGAAGAAGGCCUUCGGGUUGUAAAGCACUUUUGUCCGGAAAGAAAUCCUUGGCUCUAAUACAGUCGGGGGAUGACGGUACCCGGAAGAAUAAGCACCGGCUAACUACGUGCCAGCAGCCGCGGUAAUACGUAGGGUGCAAGCGUUAAUCGGAAUUACUGGGCGUAAAGCGUGCGCAGGCGGUUUGCUAAGACCGAUGUGAAAUCCCCGGGCUCAACCUGGGAACUGCAUUGGUGACUGGCAGGCUAGAGUAUGGCAGAGGGGGUAGAAUUCCACGUGUAGCAGUGAAAUGCGUAGAGAUGUGGAGGAAUACCGAUGGCGAAGGCAGCCCCCUGGGCCAAUACUGACGCUCAUGCA